GACGAACGCUGGCGGCGUGCUUAACACAUGCAAGUCGAACGGUAAGGCCCUUCGGGGUACACGAGUGGCGAACGGGUGAGAAACACGUGGGUGAUCUGCCCUGCACUUCGGGAUAAGCCUGGGAAACUGGGUCUAAUACCGGAUAGGACUACGGACUGCAUGGUCUGGGGUGGAAAGCUUUUGCGGUGUGGGAUGGGCCCGCGGCCUAUCAGCUUGUUGGUGGGGUGAUGGCCUACCAAGGCGACGACGGGUAGCCGGCCUGAGAGGGUGACCGGCCACACUGGGACUGAGAUACGGCCCAGACUCCUACGGGAGGCAGCAGUGGGGAAUAUUGCACAAUGGGCGGAAGCCUGAUGCAGCGACGCCGCGUGAGGGAUGACGGCCUUCGGGUUGUAAACCUCUUUCAGCAUCGACGAAGCGAAAGUGACGGUAGGUGCAGAAGAAGGACCGGCCAACUACGUGCCAGCCGCCGCGGUAA
RNAcentral lists this ribosomal RNA (478 nucleotides) under uncultured bacterium. RNAcentral describes it as "partial 16S ribosomal RNA". It matches the Rfam family "Bacterial small subunit ribosomal RNA", at positions 28 to 523 of the family's 1533-position model. The record is from RNAcentral.